This 77-nucleotide transfer RNA is filed under the name Bordetella sp. Its description in RNAcentral is "tRNA-Val". It matches the Rfam family "tRNA". From Rfam's summary of the family: Transfer RNA (tRNA) molecules are approximately 80 nucleotides in length. Their secondary structure includes four short double-helical elements and three loops (D, anti-codon, and T loops). Lineage: Bacteria; Pseudomonadati; Pseudomonadota; Betaproteobacteria; Burkholderiales; Alcaligenaceae. The record is from RNAcentral.
AGGCGGUUAGCUCAGUUGGUUAGAGCGCUACGUUGACAUCGUAGAGGUCGUUGGUUCAAUUCCAAUACCGCCUACCA